CACGUAGGGUGCGAGCGUUGUCCGGAAUUAUUGGGCGUAAAGGGCUCGUAGGCGGUCUGUCGCGUCGGGAGUGAAAACUCGGGGCUUAACUCCGAGCCUGCUUCUGAUACGGGCAGACUAGAGGUAUGCAGGGGAGAAUGGAAUUCCUGGUGUAGCGGUGAAAUGCGCAGAUAUCAGGAGGAACACCGGUGGCGAAGGCGGUUCUCUGGGCAUGACAUGACGCUGAGGAGCGAAAGUGUGGGGAGCGAACAGG
This 253-nucleotide ribosomal RNA is filed under the name uncultured bacterium. RNAcentral's name for it is "partial 16S ribosomal RNA". It matches the Rfam family "Bacterial small subunit ribosomal RNA", at positions 524 to 776 of the family's 1533-position model. The record is from RNAcentral.